This is a long non-coding RNA of Ceratina calcarata, 2710 nucleotides long. RefSeq lists it as uncharacterized. The transcript has 3 exons. NCBI's taxonomy places the organism in Eukaryota, Metazoa, Arthropoda, Insecta, Hymenoptera, Apidae. The record is from RefSeq and is a predicted model, not a curated record.
UUCAUUUUCACAUUUUCUAGUUUAACUUAAUUUAACAAUUUUGUUUAUCUUCAUUUGUGAUAAACGAAGGAACGUACUGACUCAUACGCACGUACGUCGGCCUUUCAUAAAGUACGGAAUUUAAUCUAAAUCGCGAAAGCGUAUCAGACGUUUUUCGGUGCUCGUAAAUUUAAAUCAGCCGCGUGUCUGACAUAUGAGAGGCAUAUUCUACUGCGUGCGGCGGACGCGUUUAUUUUCGUCAGCUCACGUUACAUUGCCGCGUCGUCGCACACAACACGAUAGUUUAAUCUAGAAAAUGCGAAAUUAAGACCGGCACGAUGAAACGAGUAUAUAUACACAUGCCAGUAUGAAAAACUGUCCUCGCCCCUCUUUUCUGUCCUCUUCUUUACGUCUAUACUAAAGAAUAAUUAUUCAGGUAUGCCAUUCGUCAUUUUUAUCCCUACGUUUAACUACUUCUAGACGAAUAAAUACAGGUCUUUCCACCGUAAUACGAUUCACAAUGAAACGUAUAAUUUAUUAAUUAUUAAACACUAGAAGUAUGAAACUUUCUCUAACUAUAGUCGUGUUACUUUCUGGAAAAAUACGUCAAUCGGUUUAGAGGCACGAUUUGCGUUCGACGAAUAUAUCCGUCAAUCCUUCUGGAAUAGCUAAAAAGAAAUAAUGAAACCAGUUUAUGAUGUAUUGAUAUCGACGAUUUCAACGUAAAUUAAUUAUUGUGACACAUACAAUAAAUUUGAAUUUAUUUUAAAAUACCAGCUCUACUGUAGUAAACGAAACAUUAUACAGGAUUAUAUGAAAUAUGUCAUAUAUGUUGUACGGCCGAGCUGACCAAGGCGUGGCUCGAAUUUUUAACCGCGGUUUCCAGGCGCUCUGAUUCCAUUCCAUUAUACCUGGUACGUGUUAAUUGUGCCGGCGAUUUCGUCGCCCGAAAUAGAAACCGCGGUCACGAUUUUCGCUGCUAGUCUCAUCGGGAUCAAGGCUGCCUGCGUUUUUGAUGGUACGCGGGGGCGGAAUCGCGGAAUUAGAGCCGAAUUACGUGUUGAUGAAAUUGAACCAGUAAUGAACGAAGCUUUUAUUAAUUUAUUAGUUGUAUUUUGGGUCGCAUUGACUUUUCGAAAACGGUUCGAGGAUGAAAAAAUAUAUAUAAUCCGCAGUACAAUAAAUAUAAUCUUGUCUAAGAUUAAAGUACGUUGACCACUUAAUACCGUUGCAGUCGCAACAGGCAAAUGAAAGUUUCACGGUAAUGAUUUAUACCUACAGUUCCGUGGAAAUGUUGGUAUAUUUAUCGUUUUAUUUUGACCUUUAUUCAUUUUGUGCCCAAAGGGGUUAUUAAUAUCGUCAGUGUCAGGGAGCUCAGGUUGCAUUCAAUCUCACUGCACACUCAACGAACAUUUAGAUGCAGUCUGCAAUGCAAAUGCAGAAAAUGAAACGAGAGCUUGAAAGAAAAUCUCCAUCUGCUAUUUUAUGAGAAGCUGAAGCUUAGAUUUGAAUUGUCGCGUCCCAACAGCUUGCUAUAAAUAGAUAUUUUUUUCCACCAAUUAUCGUCUCCGUAGUAAAUCAGUAAUAAUCUGAGAAGGUAGACUCGAUGAGAAAAACAGGUACGUCACUGCAAAAUAUUUAUCGCUGAGAGCAAUUCGGGAACUUUUCUAUUAGCAAACUAGGAACGAGAAGUUAAAAAAGAAGCAAAUAAGAAAUGAGGCCAGAGGGAAACUUUUUCGUUGUCCUGAUAUCCUUGAAUAUUUUUCGUGUCCCCCUCGUUGUUCCUUUUGUUUCUCGUCGCGGGCAAACUUGUUCCUCGAAUUUUUUACCUACCUUCUUCUCCUUGGGAGUUAUUGAGAUAAUGAGUAAUAGCCGCGAUGAAACUCCCACGGCGCGGUCUAACGGCGGUGCGGCGGCGUAGUCAGGAAAUAUCAUCGAAAGUUUACGAAAGCCCACUCACGGUUAUACAGCUGGGCCGCAGUAUUGCGGAGAUCAUUGUUACUUCAGACCGAAUAGUGUGCGUCGGUUGAAUCUUAAAUCAUCGUUUAACCUGGUAACCUUUACCGAGGAUAAUAGAACGAUACGCAGGUCGUGUUAUCAGAAGGGAUCUGCGAUUGAAACGAGAAUUAUUAUCGAAGAACGCGAAUACAGGCAAAUUUAUCUGCGAUUCGAAAUAAAUUCUUCCGAUUAUUUAAAAGUGUCAUUUUAUAAAAUAAGUCGACUAAAUUGGAUAUUAAUAGAAAUUAAUUAAACUUGAAAAAAAUGGCGAAUCAAACAAGCGUACAAUCUGGAAUGUACGGGUCGAGCUUCUUGCUAAUGAAGACGUAACAAAAUUCUUCGUGAGAUGCGUGAAAUAAACGCGGUAACUGUUGCGAACGAGUUUGGAAGGAAGAGAAGACAGAGGAGUUACACAAAAGGUGAAGGGAAUCAAGUCAGCCAGAAUCCUCGCCUAGUUAAUUCUCGCUGUGAUACAACACCCUCUUUUACGGGCGUCUCUGCUAGUCGCUGGAUUUCUUGGGAAUUGAAACUAAUUUGGGCAUGUCCUGCAACGUGGUCCCGGAGAUGUUUCAAGAUUACCGAGGGACUCGGUAGACUUGAUAAAGCAAAAAUGAGUCCUCUUGAAUGCCGUCGGAUAAUUGCAGGCAACGUGACGUUUUGCAAACUUAUUGUGCAGAGCUAAUCAUUAGCAACCUUCGAAAUUAUUAUAAUUUUAUCAAAUAUAAAUAUAAUA